UGUUUUUCUGUAUUAAGUUUUUGACAUUCUUUCUUGUCAGAGCCAAAAUAAAUACCAAGACUUUUUACGUUAUGUUUCCAAUUAAUGAUUUCAAAUUUGUCCUUGCAGUGUUUAAGUUUACCUAGCCAUAUACCUUCUGUUUUGUUUCUAUUGAGUUUGAGUCCAGAGAGCGAUCCAAAGGUUUCAAUUAUAUUAAGUGCAUGCUUUAUUUCAUUUUUAGAUUUAAAAAAAAAGAGUUGUGUCAUCUGCUAAUUGUGAAAUUUUUAGACUAUGAGUUUUUUUAUCAAUUUUGAUUUGUAUUCCUUUUAUAUCAUUAGAGUCUCUUAUUCUGCAAGCAAGUAAUUCAACUGAUAAAACAAAC
This 361-nucleotide long non-coding RNA is filed under the name Mytilus galloprovincialis (Mediterranean mussel). Lineage: Eukaryota; Metazoa; Mollusca; Bivalvia; Mytilida; Mytilidae. The record is from RNAcentral.